This 2487-nucleotide ribosomal RNA is filed under the name freshwater metagenome. RNAcentral's name for it is "bacterial LSU rRNA". It matches the Rfam family "Bacterial large subunit ribosomal RNA", at positions 15 to 2539 of the family's 2925-position model. The record is from RNAcentral.
UAGGCAUGUGGUGGAUGCCUUGGCAGUCAGAGGCGAAGAAAGACGUGUGAGCCUGCGAAAAGCUUCGGGGAGGCGGCAACAAUCCUGUGAUCCGGAGAUGUCUGAAUGGGGGAACCCACUUACCAUAAGGUAGGUAUUGCAACAUGAAUACAUAGUGUUGCAAGGCGAACGAGGGGAAGUGAAACAUCUCAGUACCCUUAGGAAAAGAAAUCAAUUGAGAUUCCCUUAGUAGCGGCGAGCGAACUGGGAAAAGCCCAUUAAGCUUUAUAUGUUUUAGUGGAACACACUGGGAAGUGUGAACGUAGAGGGUGAUAUUCCCGUACACGAAAAGGCAUAUAGAGUGAAUUGAGUAGGGCGAGGCACGUGAAACCUUGUCUGAAUAUGGGGGGACCAUCCUCCAAGGCUAAAUACUCCUGACUGACCGAUAGUGAACCAGUACCGUGAGGGAAAGGCGAAAAGAACCCCUGUGAGGGGAGUGAAAUAGAUCCUGAAACCGCAUGCAUACAAGCAGUGGGAGCCGACUUGUUCGGUGACUGCGUACCUUUUGUAUAAUGGGUCAGCGACUUAUAUUCAGUAGCGAGGUUAACCGAAUAGGGGAGCCGUAGAGAAAUCGAGUCUUAAUAGGGCGUUUAGUUGCUGGGUAUAGACCCGAAACCAGGCGAUCUAUCCAUGAGCAGGUUGAAGGUUGGGUAACACUAACUGGAGGACCGAACCCACUGUCGUUGAAAAGCCAGGGGAUGACUUGUGGAUAGGGGUGAAAGGCUAAUCAAGCCUGGUGAUAGCUGGUUCUCCCCGAAAGCUAUUUAGGUAGCGCCUCGGACGAAUACCAUUGGGGGUAGAGCACUGUUUCGGCUAGGGGGUCAUCCCGACUUACCAAACCGAUGCAAACUCCGAAUACCAAUGAGUACUAUCCGGGAGACAGACUGCGGGUGCUAACGUCCGUAGUCAAGAGGAAAACAAUCCAGACCGCCAGCUAAGGCCCCAAAAUCAUAGUUAAGUGGGAAACGAUGUGGGAAGGCAUAGACAGCUAGGAGGUUGGCUUAGAAGCAGCCACCCUUUAAAGAAAGCGUAAUAGCUCACUAGUCGAGUCGGCCUGCGCGGAAGAUGUAACGGGGCUAAAACUAUGUGCCGAAGCUGCGGAUUUGACAUUAGUCAAGUGGUAGGGGAGCGUUCUGUAAGCCGAUGAAGGUGUAUUGAGAAGUAUGCUGGAGGUAUCAGAAGUGCGAAUGCUGACGUGAGUAACGACAAAACGGGUGAAAAACCCGUUCGCUGAAAGACCAAGGGUUCCAGUCCAACGUUAAUCGGGGCUGGGUGAGUCGACCCCUAAGGCGAGGCCGAGAGGCGUAGUCGAUGGGAAAUUGGUUAAUAUUCCAAUACUUCUGUGUAAUGCGAUGAGAGGACGGAGAAGGUUAAGUCAGCCUGGCGUUGGUUGUCCAGGUGGAAGACCGUAGGCAUGCAUCUUAGGCAAAUCCGGGGUGCUCUAUGCUGAGAGUCGAUAGCAAGCUGUACUUGUACAGUGAAGUGGCUGAUACCAUGCUUCCAGGAAAAGUCUCUAAGCUUCAGUUACACAGGAAUCGUACCCGAAACCGACACAGGUGGUCAGGUCGAGUAGACCAAAGCGCUUGAGAGAACUCUGCUGAAGGAACUAGGCAAAAUGGUACCGUAACUUCGGGAGAAGGUACGCUGCUGACGGUGAUGGGACUUGCUCCCUGAGCGGUUGGCAGCCGCAGAAACCAGGCCGCUGCAACUGUUUAUUAAAAACAUAGCACUCUGCAAACACGAAAGUGGACGUAUAGGGUGUGAUGCCUGCCCGGUGCUGGAAGGUUAAUUGAUGGGGUUAGCGUAAGCGAAGCUCUUGAUCGAAGCCCCAGUAAACGGCGGCCGUAACUAUAACGGUCCUAAGGUAGCGAAAUUCCUUGUCGGGUAAGUUCCGACCUGCACGAAUGGCAUAAUGAUGGCGGCGCUGUCUCCAGCAGAGGCUCAGUGAAAUCGAAAUCGCUGUGAAGAUGCAGUGUACCCGCGGCUAGACGGAAAGACCCCGUGAACCUUUACUGCAGCUUGACAUUGAACUUUGACCUUACUUGUGUAGGAUAGGUGGGAGGCUUUGAAGUUGGAACGCUAGUUCCAAUGGAGCCGUCCUUGAAAUACCACCCUGGUAAUGUUGAGGUUCUAACUCUGUCCCGUAAUCCGGGACGAGGACCAUGUCUGGUGGGUAGUUUGACUGGGGCGGUCUCCUCCUAAAGAGUAACGGAGGAGUACGAAGGUGCGCUCAGCGUGGUCGGAAAUCACGCGUAGAGUAUAAAGGCAAAAGCGCGCUUAACUGCGAGACCCACAAGUCGAGCAGGUACGAAAGUAGGUCUUAGUGAUCCGGUGGUUCUGUAUGGAAGGGCCAUCGCUCAACGGAUAAAAGGUACUCUGGGGAUAACAGGCUGAUACCGCCCAAGAGUUCAUAUCGACGGCGGUGUUUGGCACCUCGAUGUCGGCUCA